GAUGAACGCUGGCGGCGUGCCUAAUACGUGCAAGUCGAGCGAACGGACGAGAAGCUUGCUUCUCUGAUGUUAGCGGCGGACGGGUGAGUAACACGUGGAUAACCUACCUAUAAGACUGGGAUUACUUCGGGAAACCGGAGCUAAUACCGGAUAAUAUUUUGAACCGCAUGGUUCAAAAGUGAAAGACGGUCUUGCUGUCACUUAUAGAUGGAUCCGCGCUGCAUUAGCUAGUUGGUAAGGUAACGGCUUACCAAGGCAACGACGCAUAGCCGACCUGAGAGGGUGAUCGGCCACACUGGAACUGAGACACGGUCCAGACUCCUACGGGAGGCAGCAGUAGGGAAUCUUCCGCAAUGGGCGAAAGCCUGACGGAGCAACGCCGCGUGAGUGAUGAAGGUCUUCGGAUCGUAAAACUCUGUUAUUAGGGAAGAACAUAUGUGUAAGUAACUGUGCACAUCUUGACGGUACCUAAUCAGAAAGCCACGGCUAACUACGUGCCAGCAGCCGCGGUAAUACGUAGGUGGCAAGCGUUAUCCGGAAUUAUUGGGCGUAAAGCGCGCGUAGGCGGUUUUUUAAGUCUGAUGUGAAAGCCCACGGCUCAACCGUGGAGGGUCAUUGGAAACUGGAAAACUUGAGUGCAGAAGAGGAAAGUGGAAUUCCAUGCGUAGCGGUGAAAUGCGCAGAGAUAUGGAGGAACACCAGUGGCGAAGGCGACUUUCUGGUCUGUAACUGACGCUGAUGUGCGAAAGCGUGGGGAUCAAACAGGAUUAGAUACCCUGGUAGUCCACGCCGUAAACGAUGAGUGCUAAGUGUUAGGGGGUUUCCGCCCCUUAGUGCUGCAGCUAACGCAUUAAGCACUCCGCCUGGGGAGUACGACCGCAAGGUUGAAGCUCAAAGGAAUUGACGGGGACCCGCACAAGCGGUGGAGCAUGUGGUUUAAUUCGAAGCAACGCGAAGAACCUUACCAAAUCUUGACAUCCUUUGACAACUCUAGAGAUAGAGCCUUCCCCUUCGGGGGACAAAGUGACAGGUGGUGCAUGGUUGUCGUCAGCUCGUGUCGUGAGAUGUUGGGUUAAGUCCCGCAACGAGCGCAACCCUUAAGCUUAGUUGCCAUCAUUAAGUUGGGCACUCUAAGUUGACUGCCGGUGACAAACCGGAGGAAGGUGGGGAUGACGUCAAAUCAUCAUGCCCCUUAUGAUUUGGGCUACACACGUGCUACAAUGGACAAUACAAAGGGCAGCGAAACCGCGAGGUCAAGCAAAUCCCGUAAAGUUGUUCUCAGUUCGGAUUGUAGUCUGCAACUCGACUACAUGAAGCUGGAAUCGCUAGUAAUCGUAGAUCAGCAUGCUACGGUGAAUACGUUCCCGGGUCU
This 1372-nucleotide ribosomal RNA is filed under the name uncultured bacterium. RNAcentral's name for it is "bacterial SSU rRNA". It matches the Rfam family "Bacterial small subunit ribosomal RNA", at positions 28 to 1381 of the family's 1533-position model. The record is from RNAcentral.